RNAcentral lists this ribosomal RNA (253 nucleotides) under uncultured bacterium. Its description in RNAcentral is "partial 16S ribosomal RNA". It matches the Rfam family "Bacterial small subunit ribosomal RNA", at positions 524 to 776 of the family's 1533-position model. The record is from RNAcentral.
UACGUAGGGGGCUAGCGUUGUCCGGAUUUAUUGGGCGUAAAGAGCGUGUAGGCGGCCAGGUAGGUCUGCUGUGAAAACUCGAGGCUCAACCUCGAGACGUCGGCGGAAACCAUCUGGCUAGAGUCCGGAAGAGGAGAGUGGAAUUCCUGGUGUAGCGGUGAAAUGCGCAGAUAUCAGGAAGAACACCGGUGGCGAAGGCGGAUCUCUGGGCCAUUACUGACGCUGAGGAGCGAAAGCGUGGGGAGCGAACAGG